UUGGAGGGCAAGUCUGGUGCCCGCAGCCGCGGUAAUUCCAGCUCCAAUAGCGUAUAUUAAAGUUGUUGCAGUUAAAAAGCUCGUAGUUGAACUUCGGGAUCAAUGGAUCGGUCAUGCCGUUGGUAUGUACUGGUCACAUUGGUUCUCACCUUCUAAGGAACCAUGAUGUCAUUCAUUUGACGUUGUGGGGAAUUAGGACUGUUACCUUGAAAAAAUUAGAGUGUUUAAAGCAGGC
This 235-nucleotide ribosomal RNA is filed under the name uncultured fungus. RNAcentral describes it as "partial 18S ribosomal RNA". It matches the Rfam family "Eukaryotic small subunit ribosomal RNA", at positions 548 to 785 of the family's 1831-position model. Lineage: Eukaryota; Fungi. The record is from RNAcentral.